CACGUAGGGGGGCAAGCGUUGUCCGGAUUUAUUGGGCGUAAAGAGCUCGUAGGCGGUUCGGUAAGUUGGGUGUGAAACCUCCAGGCUCAACCUGGAGACGCCACCCGAUACUGCUGUGACUAGAGUCCGGUAGGGGAGCGUGGAAUUCCUGGUGUAGCGGUGAAAUGCGCAGAUAUCAGGAGGAACACCAGCGGCGAAGGCGGCGCUCUGGGCCGGAACUGACGCUGAGGAGCGAAAGCGUGGGUAGCAAACAGG
RNAcentral lists this ribosomal RNA (255 nucleotides) under uncultured bacterium. Its description in RNAcentral is "partial 16S ribosomal RNA". It matches the Rfam family "Bacterial small subunit ribosomal RNA", at positions 524 to 776 of the family's 1533-position model. The record is from RNAcentral.